GCAUGUUGGCUUCACUAUUGGGCAUGUAUGCCUCACGAUUGGACAUGUUGGGCAUGUAUGCCUCAUGAUUGGACAUGUUGGCUUCACUGUUGGGCAUGUUUUCUCUUCACAGUUUCUCUCUGUUAUCAAAAGGGUUAAGAAUAAUUCCCUUUCCAUUCUCAACUUAAGAUCUCUUAGGACCUGAAUAGAGAAUAUCUUUUUUUACCUGUGAAGUUUCUCUUCAAAGCUUCAUGCUCGUCUUUCAGUCUCUGGAAACCGUGCUCGGUCAUGAUGUUAGCAUCAGCUGAAUGAAAAUCAGGAAGUCAAGCUCUGAGGUUGAAGACUCCUCAGGUCAGUCAACAUAAAAACACUUUUUCACAUAAACAACAUUUUUUUAAAUAUCUCCCAAUAAAUUCAUCAUCCAUCUUCAUCAUCU
Molecule: long non-coding RNA, 415 nt
Organism: Notolabrus celidotus (New Zealand spotty)
Lineage: Eukaryota; Metazoa; Chordata; Actinopteri; Labriformes; Labridae
Exons: 3
Source: RefSeq, a predicted model, not a curated record